AAGUUCCCAGGUGAUGUUGAUGCUGCUGGUCCAGCGCCACACCUGAGAACCACUGCCUAGCUAUAGGGAACUGUUGAAAAUACACUCUUCCUCGUGUAACACUUGAGAAACUCUGAUUCAUUCUUUUCCCACCUCAUUGCUUCCUAGAUUCAAUGAAGAUUCAGGCCUGCAUUGAAAUCCCAGCUCACUCCUGAUUAGUCACCUGCCUCAGGAGGCUAUAGCCCUCAGGGGGCUCUUGUGAGUAGCAAGAAUAUAUUAAGUUAAACGGCUACUAAGGUGCCUGAUAACAAAUCCAAAAGUUCGCUGGUUACCAACACAAUGCCUAUAGUCAUCAGACAAAAAGCCUAAAUGAAAGCAUCCUCCUUUGUCAAGUGUGUUCAACUGGGACACCUGAGCGGGCCAGAAGGGACUCAUCUGCGGUCAUUGAAACAUCAUCUUCUUUCGUAUCUUCAUAUAAUUGCAAUAUUGAUGAUUAUUGGCCAUUUUACAGAUUUCUUAACAAAAUUGAACAGUAAACCAUGGUUCUAAUUUAGUGGUUCUUAAACUUUUCAGGUCCUGGACUGACUUUGAGAAACUGAGGAAAGCUAUGGACACUUCUCCCAGGUGAAGACCAUAAGAGAAAAAACGAAGUUUCCUAGAGAAGAAAUUCUGCUUCCAGACUGUAAUACAGAAAUUCUGCUGAGUUUCCAGCCUGCCAGCCUGCCUACAGAUUUCUGCCUUGUCAGCCCUUACAGUGAUAUGAGACAAUUCCUUUAACUUCUUGAUAGAUAUGUAGAUAGAUAGAUAAAUGGACAGAUAGAUAUAGAUAAGAUAUAGAGGUAUAUAAACAUACACAUGCAUAUCUAUAUAUCAAUAAUCAUAAUCAUAAUCUAAGCAUAAUUAACUAGAUUUAGUUAUACAUUGGAUAAGGAGUUAAAGGAUAGUGUAUUAUAGCCUAGGUUUCUAUUUAAACAACUGAGCAGAUAGUGAUUUUAUUUAUUGAAAUGGAGGUAACUGGGAAAAAAUAAGCAUUUGGGUGGUGAGGGUAGUGGGAAUUAGUUCCCUUUUGUCCAGGUUAAUUUUGUGAUAUCCAAGUAUAUACGUAAAGUUGUGAAUAUGUGAAUGUAGAGCUGAGUGGGUGGUUUAAGUUAAAGAUAAAAUUAUAGGAUUGCCACAUAAAUAUGAUAUUUAGAGUUAAGGAACUUGAGGAGAAUUUCUAGUAGGAGAAUGAAAGAUGACUUAUGACCAAGUCCAGAGAGCCUAGGACCACAGUGUGAGGAGAACCAACAGUUAGAGCUCAGGUGGAAGUGGAAACACAGGAGUGAUGAGAGAAGGAAGAGGUAAAUGCGUGCUAUGGUGUCACAGACCUAGCAAGAGAAUAGUCAAUAGUGUGGAAUGAUUCAGAUUUAUCUAGCAAGAUAAGGCUAGAAAAAAAAGCGUUACAUGGGAUUGGCAAAAUGGAUGUCAUUAAUGACCUCAGCAAGAGUAUUUUUUGACUGGUGGGGAGGCAGCAAGACAGAUUCAGAUAG
This 1508-nucleotide long non-coding RNA is filed under the name Equus caballus (horse). Its description in RNAcentral is "lncRNA (ENSECAG00000052750.1)". The record is from RNAcentral. Lineage: Eukaryota; Metazoa; Chordata; Mammalia; Perissodactyla; Equidae.